GCUAAGGCCCCUAAAUGAUCGCUGAGUGAUGAAGGAGGUGGGAGUGCAAAAACAGCCAGGAGGUUCGCCUAGAAGCAGCGAUCCUUGAAAGAGUGCGUAAUAGCUUACUGCUCGAGCGCUCUUGCACCGAAGAUGAUCGGGACUAAGCGAUCUGCCGAAGCUGUGGGAUGUAAUAAAAAAUACAUCGGUAGGGGAGCGUUCCGCCUCAGAGAGAAGUAUCUGCGCGAGCAGAGUUGGACGAAGCGGAAGCGAGAAUGUCGGCUUGAGUAACGCAAACAUUGGUGAGAAUCCAAUGCCCCGAAAACCUAAGGAUUCCUCCGCAAGGUUCGUCCACGGAGGGUGAGUCAGGGCCUAAGAUCAGGCCGAAAGGCGUAGUUGAUGGACAACAGGUUAAUAUUCCUGUACUACCCUUUGUUGGUCCCGAGGGACGGAGUAGGCUAAGUUAGCCGUCUUAAUUAUGGUUUUGCGGUUCAAGGUCAGAAGGUGACCCCGAAAAAGCGGGGUCAAAACGGGGUAGAGAAAAUACCUCGAGCCAAUGUCCGAAUUCCAGCGUGGCGUCAAAAAAUGAAAAAGACAGACAACACGCUGGGCAACCCACGUCAUACUCCCAGGAAAAGCUCGAACGACCUUCAACAAACGGGUACCUGUACCUGAAACCGACACAGGUAGGUAGGUAGAG
RNAcentral lists this ribosomal RNA (679 nucleotides) under Chamaecyparis lawsoniana (Lawson's cypress). Its description in RNAcentral is "bacterial LSU rRNA". It matches the Rfam family "Bacterial large subunit ribosomal RNA", at positions 1038 to 1676 of the family's 2925-position model. The record is from RNAcentral. Lineage: Eukaryota; Viridiplantae; Streptophyta; Pinopsida; Cupressales; Cupressaceae.